RNAcentral lists this ribosomal RNA (497 nucleotides) under uncultured bacterium. Its description in RNAcentral is "partial 16S ribosomal RNA". It matches the Rfam family "Bacterial small subunit ribosomal RNA", at positions 28 to 507 of the family's 1533-position model. The record is from RNAcentral.
GAUGAACGCUGGCGGCGUGCCUAAUACAUGCAAGUCGAGCGAACAGACGAGGAGCUUGCUCCUCUGACGUUAGCGGCGGACGGGUGAGUAACACGUGGAUAACCUACCUAUAAGACUGGGAUAACUUCGGGAAACCGGAGCUAAUACCGGAUAAUAUAUUGAACCGCAUGGUUCAAUAGUGAAAGACGGUUUUGCUGUCACUUAUAGAUGGAUCCGCGCCGCAUUAGCUAGUUGGUAAGUUAACGGCUUACCAAGGCAACGAUGCGUAGCCGACCUGAGAGGGUGGUCGGCCACACGGGAGCUGAGACACGGUCCAGACUCCUGCGGGAGGCAGCAGUAGGGAAUCGUACGCAGUGGGCGAAAGCCUGACGGAGCAACGCCGCGUGAGUGAUAGAGGUCUUCGGAUCGUAAAACUCUGUUAUUAGGGAAGAACAAAUGUGUAAGUAACUAUGCACGUCUUGACGGUACCUAAUCAGAAAGCCACGGCUAACUACGUG